CAGCAGCCGCGGUAAUACGUAGGGUGCAAGCGUUAAUCGGAAUUACUGGGCGUAAAGCGUGCGCAGGCGGUUAUAUAAGACAGAUGUGAAAUCCCCGGGCUCAACCUGGGAACUGCAUUUGUGACUGUAUAGCUAGAGUACGGCAGAGGGGGAUGGAAUUCCGCGUGUAGCAGUGAAAUGCGUAGAUAUGCGGAGGAACACCGAUGGCGAAGGCAAUCCCCUGGGCCUGUACUGACGCUAAUGCACGAAAGCGUGGGGAGCAAACAGGAUUAGAUACCCCAGUAGUCCCUGUCUCUUAUAC
This 301-nucleotide ribosomal RNA is filed under the name uncultured bacterium. RNAcentral describes it as "partial 16S ribosomal RNA". It matches the Rfam family "Bacterial small subunit ribosomal RNA", at positions 509 to 807 of the family's 1533-position model. The record is from RNAcentral.